Molecule: long non-coding RNA, 4740 nt
Filed under: Phaseolus vulgaris (common bean)
Lineage: Eukaryota; Viridiplantae; Streptophyta; Magnoliopsida; Fabales; Fabaceae
Description: long non-coding RNA (PVUL_LNC003535)
Source: RNAcentral
GUGUGUCUAGUUUGUAUGCUUACCCCCUGCAUGGGCUUUCUAGACCGGCCUUGGUAAAUUUAGAGGUUUUUUUAGAAACUCUAAGUUUACCUAGGUUGGUGUUUUAGGUGCCAAAAUUCAUUCUAAGAAAAAUUACAAAUAAAUUUCCUAUGCUAAUUUUGACAAGAAAUUAAAGUCUACUCUACACUAGAGUUUAUGGCAUUUGAACAUGUAAAAGAACGUCUUCUUGGAUCCUCUUGGCCAUAACUCUAGGGUUGGCCCAAUUCUACCCUUUGGUGGGCUUGCAUGUGGGCUUGUGCUUGGGCCUCUUCCAUCAUCCCCUCCCUCUUGAAAAGGAUUUGUCCUCAAAUCCAAUGCUUCUUCUUCUUCAAUGUUAGGGGGAUGAAUGUGGUUGGAUGGUGUCCAUCAUCUCCUCCUUCUUGAGAAGAUCUAUCCUCAGAUCUACAGGGUCGUUCUCGAAUAGCAGCCUCUUGCUUUGACAACUAUGCUCGUCCUCCCGAAUCAAACGUCCAUCUAUGGGAAUCAUCAAACAAAGCAAAUGAGUUAGUUUGAGCAGUUGUUUAAAAAUCAAUUGUAUGAAGUUGCCAUUCUUUUUAUUUUUCUAUUGGCAACUUUUUACGAUAUUUCUUUAGGGAGGAGUUCAUAUUUUUGUUUUCUUUCAAAAGCUCAAGAGUUUGAUCAACUCCAAAAAGACUUAUGAAUCCUCCUUCAUGUGACUCAUUCACAAGGAAUUUUCUAUGUGUUAUUUGGGGUAUGCAAAGUUUUUCUUCUUUAAAUACGUUCCCCUCAUAAACAUAAAACCCUCCAUGUGCUCUAUGUUGAUACUUAGCAAAAGUGGUUGCAAAAUCUUGAUAAAGUUUAGGUAUGUUAUCAAAUCCAAGAAUUUGGGCUCUAAGUUUUAAAAAUAAGGCAUGUUUCCUUGAUAGAGCGUCCACCACAAUAUUUGUUUUGUCCUUCUUGUAUUUGAUAACAUAUGGAACUUGCUCAAGAAAUCCCAUCCACUUUGCAUGUAUUUUUAACUUGUGUUGACUCUUUAAAGAUUUUAAAGACUCAUGCAGGGCCCUCACAAGUGUAUAGAGCUCUUUGUUAUAGAUGGGGUAGUUGAGGGUUGCACCAUGAAGUUUUUCAAUAAAAUAUGCAAUUGGGUGCCCACCUUGCAAAAACCCAACACCUAUUCCUACUCCCAAUGCAUCACACUCUAGCUCAAAAGUUUUUACAAAGUUUGGUAAAGCUAGAAUAGGUGCAUUGGUGAGUUGAGCUUUCAACCUUUGAAAGGCUUGCUCAUGCUUCUCCAUCCAACAAAAUCGAGUGUCUUUCUUCACUAACUCAUUGAGUGGUGAAGCUAGACUUGAGAAGUUAGGAUCAAUUCUCCUAUAAUAACUUGCUAGACCAUGACAACUCCUAACAUCUCCUACAUUUUUUUGUGUUGGCCAUUCUUGGAUGGCUUUGAUUUUCUCGGGGUCAACAUGUUCCCCGUUUUUGUUAGCUAUAAAACCCAAAGACACUACACUAUCAACAUAGAAGGUACAUUUAUCAAUAUUAGCAAACAAACUAUUAGUCCUAAACAUUAAGAAAACUUUCCUAAGGUGGCUUAGGUAAUCAUAAACUACUAUAUAUUUACCUAGGCACUCCUCUUUUAAGGGUUCUUUUUUGACUAUAUUUGUAAGGGAUGUUGUAAGAUAUUCCUUAUUCUUUCUAGAUUCACACAAUCCCUCACUUGGCUUUUCUAUUUCUAUCAUCACCUUUUUUCUCUUUUCUUUCUCUUCUCUAGCUUUCCUUUCGUCUUCCUCUUUUGAUCUUUUCUCUUGCAUCUUUCUUUCCUUCCUUACUUUAUGGGAAGCAAACAAUUGUUCUACCCUCAUUUCCCAAUUUAGGCAAGCUUCUAUAUUUUCUUUCCCAUGGAAAUGGGGUAGGUCUACCCUAACCUCUCUUGGGCUUUCUUGCUCUAUCCUUCUAUUCCUUCUAGGGGGUGGUUGAUAAUAUUCAUUUAUUCUAAGACUUUCCUCCCCAAGAUAAUCAUGAUUUUUAGAGCUAGAUGCAUGAGAAUGUAUUUUUUUUUAUUUUUGAGAAUUCUCAUCCUUUGCUUUAGUCAAUACUUUAGUUUUGGCCUCAUUCUCCAAUUGUUGAUAUGAAAUUAAUUGAACAUCCUUGGAAAGUUGUUUUAAAAGAGAUUUCAAGGAUUUCACAUCACUUUUAAGAGAUUUAGAGGAGUGAGAAGACAUGACUAAAACUUUGUGUAUAGAAAUGCUUUACAUUAAGAAAGAUGAGGAAAGCUAAUGAAGGUAGUUUUCCAGGUAAGAGAGGUGAGUCACAAUGGACUACUUAAAUACCAAGUCUUGCCUUAGCCAAAAACUAUCCCUCAAAAUCUUCACACAAAUCUUUCUUUAGGUAAAUCACUUAAAACACAAUGAGGAUGGGAAAAUCAAAUUUUAUGCAACAAAAACAAUGCAAGCUAUCUCUAACAACUAAAGCAAUUUAUCAAAGCUUUAAACAAGGUUAAGCAAAAGAAAUUAAGCGAAACUAAACAAAAGCAAUUGGCGUAGGUUAAAGCAAUUAACAAAGGCUAAACUAGAAAGCUUAAACUAAUCGUUCCUAGGUGAGGCUUCUUAGACACUUUGAGCCUUUGAAGACACACUUACCGCCUAAUUGCGUGAUUGAUCCACUAAUUAAAAAGAGUGAAAUGUAAUUACAAUUCAAGAAAUGCAAAGAAAUUAAAUUGCACAAAUGAAAGUUCAGCAAGGCACUCUUUUGACUUGUUGUUACUCUUCUUGGUUGUGCCCUUCAAGGUGUAUGGUGUAUUUUGGUUUUGUGUUUGUUGCUGCCCCUUGCCUUGAUCCUCUUUGAAUUAGGGAAUUAAAUUCUUCAAUACAGUACCUAUUAAGUAAAGCUAGACUCUCCUCAAGUCAAAUCCCACUCAACAAGCACCAAUUGAUAUUUAUCCACCGACAAUUUUAGAGGUCAAGAAAAGAAAGCAAGAAACAAUUAAAAUUUAAAAACAGCACCACUACAAUUGGAUUUAAUAAUGUGACACAACUAGAAGGAGUUCAGAAUGAAUUGGACAAGCAAAUAAAAAUAGGCACUCAAAUAAUGGAUGGCACACAAAAGGAACCUAAAGAUUGGCACUAGAAUUGAUUUAAAAACCGAAACAGCACCACUGAAAAUGUUGUGGUCCAGAAAGCGUGACUUAAAUGAUUUAUGUUGAGCUGGCUAUUUUGUAUUUGUUUCUGAAAAUUUAAACACAAUCAAUUCAUUUUCUCAACAAAAUUUUGGGCUUUGGUUUCACUCCAAUCACAUGUGCCAAUUAAUUAUGAUAAUUUUUCCAAAAACAGUGUCCAAUUAUCGUCAGGUAUAGUGCCAGAAUGCACACUUCUUUUGUAUGAUUUAUCUUUUUUUUCUAUUUCGUUUUUUCAACUUAUUCUUUUUUUUUUCUUUUUGUGAUAACACCUAAAAAUAUUGAAAUCCAGAGGCUCAUAAUUUUCUUGUGACGUAUUUAAUUUUCAUAAAGCAAAACAGCCAAAACAGAUUUGUGAAAACAGAGGAUUCUGAAAUCUGAAAUCAAAACAGAAAGAUAUACUUCAAAAACACAAUGAAAUAAAUGUGAUGGAAUUUGUGUGGAUCUAGCACAAAAAUAUGAACUCAAACUAAAAAUAAAAAUGCACCAAAGGAUCAAAUCAAAACACAAUUCAGAUUAAGCACUCAACUCAAAACAAGAAACAAAUAAAUCAAGAAAAGUACUACUAAGAUUUGUUGACAAUUUUUGGAAUCACAUGACUUGACAAAACUUAUAGAUUCAGAAAAUAAAAUGACUCAAACAUAUUAAUAUGAACCGAAUAGAAUUUCAAUCAAGACUCAAGCAACCUAAAAAAUCAAAAACAGCAACACAAUGUAUCAAGAAUCCUACACAAAAUUGAAAUAAGAUGCUCAAGCACAAUUUGAACAAAAACUACCGAUUGAAAUGAAUAGAGAAGAAUUCAAAUCAUAUUAAAAACAUAAAACAAAAAGACAAGAUGAACACAAGAUAAACAAGCUGGAAAUAAGAAGAACUCAAGCAAAAAAAUGAAAAGAGAUACUUAUCUCUUGAAGACCAUAGCUCUAGAUACCAAAUAAUAGCAUUGAGCUCUUCUCUUUUGUGAAUUUUGGGUGGUUUGCGGAAGCUUAGUGGUUUGUUGAUGGAACAAGGCCUUCCUAGGAAGUGUGGGUGCCUUGAAGGUGCAUGAAGAGUGUGAGAUUAGGGAGGUUCGGCCAGCCCCUUUGAAGGUGUAAGGAUUAAAGACUAAAACCUAGAUUCUAGGCAAGGAGUAAGGUAUGGCUCAAGUUUGGCAGCAUAACAAUACUCAAUUUAAUCUUACAAAAUGAGAGCCAAGCACCUCAAUUUAUAGUGUUUAGAGGGCUGGAAAUUCAAAAGAAAGUGGAGGGAAAUUCAAAUGAAUUCCCUCCCAAAAGUGGAGCCUAAAUGAGCACAUGGGGAGGGGUGUGUCUAGUUUGAAUGCUUACCCCCUCCAUGGGCUUUCUAGACCGGCCUUGGUAAAUUUAGAGGUUGUUUUAGAAACUCUAACUUUACCUAGGUUGGUGUUUUAGGUGCCAAAAUUAAUUCUAAGAAAAAUUACAAAUAAAGUUCCUAUGCUAAUUUUGACAAGAAAUUAAAGUCUACUCUACACUAGAGUUUAUGGCAUUUGAACAUGUAAAAGAACGUCUUCUUGGAUCCUCUUGGCCAUAACUCUAGGGUUGGCCCAAUUCUAC